UGCUUGAGGCGCGUGGCGACGCGCGUCCUAGAGGAAUGAUCGCCGGCGCGAGGGGGGCGACUCCCCGCGCAACAGAACUC
This 80-nucleotide unclassified non-coding RNA is filed under the name Sorangium cellulosum So ce56. Its description in RNAcentral is "sce_RNaseP_bact_a_1". Lineage: Bacteria; Pseudomonadati; Myxococcota; Polyangiales; Polyangiaceae. The record is from RNAcentral.